RNAcentral lists this transfer RNA (64 nucleotides) under Hydrophilidae sp. BMNH 1274306. RNAcentral describes it as "tRNA-His". Lineage: Eukaryota; Metazoa; Arthropoda; Insecta; Coleoptera; Hydrophilidae. The record is from RNAcentral.
AUUUAAAUAGUUUAAAAAAAAUAAAAGUUUGUGGAACUUUUGAUGUAAAUUAUUACUUUAAAUA